RNAcentral lists this ribosomal RNA (215 nucleotides) under Campeiostachys nutans. RNAcentral's name for it is "Elymus nutans partial small subunit ribosomal RNA". The stretch from base 42 to 215 matches the Rfam family "Eukaryotic small subunit ribosomal RNA", at positions 689 to 864 of the family's 1831-position model. The record is from RNAcentral. Lineage: Eukaryota; Viridiplantae; Streptophyta; Magnoliopsida; Poales; Poaceae.
GGAUCAGUUGGUCGGUCGUGUCUUGGUACGUACUGGUCAAAUUGAUUCCUACCUUCUGACGAAUCACAAUGUCAUUAAUUUGGUGUCGUAGGAAAUCAGGACUGUUACUUUGAAAAAAUUAGAGUGUUUAAAGCAGGCUCACGCUUGAAUACAUUAGCAUGGAAUAAUGAAAUAGGACGUUUGAUUCUAUUUUGUUGGUUUCUAGGAUCGACGUA